Molecule: ribosomal RNA, 390 nt
Filed under: uncultured bacterium
Lineage: Bacteria
Description: bacterial SSU rRNA
Rfam family: Bacterial small subunit ribosomal RNA
Source: RNAcentral
AUUGAACGCUGGCGGCAUGCUUUACACAUGCAAGUCGAGCGGCAGCGCGGGGGCAACCCUGGCGGCGAGCGGCGAACGGGUGAGUAAUGCAUCGGAACGUACCUUGGAGUGGGGGAUAACGCCGCGAAAGCGGCGCUAAUACCGCAUAUGCUCUGAGGAGGAAAGUGGGGGACCCGCAAGGGCCUCAUGCUCUGGGAGCGGCCGAUGUCCGAUUAGCUAAUUGGUGAGGUAAAGGCUUACCAAGGCGACGAUCGGUAGCUGGUCUGAGAGGAUGAUCAGCCACACUGGGACUGAGACACGGCCCAGACUCCUACGGGAGGCAGCAGUGGGGAAUUUUGGACAAAUGGGGGCAACCCUGAUCCAGCCAUGCCGCGUGAGUGAAGAAGGCCU